This 164-nucleotide small nuclear RNA is filed under the name Saimiri boliviensis boliviensis (Bolivian squirrel monkey). Its description in RNAcentral is "U1 spliceosomal RNA (ENSSBOG00000009646.1)". It matches the Rfam family "U1 spliceosomal RNA". Rfam says of the family: U1 is a small nuclear RNA (snRNA) component of the spliceosome (involved in pre-mRNA splicing). Its 5' end forms complementary base pairs with the 5' splice junction, thus defining the 5' donor site of an intron. Lineage: Eukaryota; Metazoa; Chordata; Mammalia; Primates; Cebidae. The record is from Rfam by way of RNAcentral.
AUACUUACCUGGCAGGGGAGGUACCAUGAUCACGAAGGUGGUUUUCUCAGGGCAAGGCUUAUCCAUUGCACUCCGGAUGUGCUGACCCCUGCACUUUCCCCAAAUGUGGGAAACUCGACUGCAUAAUUUGUGGUAGUAAGGGACUGUGUUUGCUCUUUCCCCUG